Molecule: long non-coding RNA, 201 nt
Organism: Diabrotica virgifera virgifera (western corn rootworm)
Lineage: Eukaryota; Metazoa; Arthropoda; Insecta; Coleoptera; Chrysomelidae
Exons: 2
Source: RefSeq, a predicted model, not a curated record
CUGUAUGAGCUUUCCUAACGUUCGGUUGUGUGACAGUUCAGUGUGGAAGUGAUAAUUCAAAAAAAACGCAGGCGGCAAAAACAAAAUAGGAACUACAUAAUAGAGAAAAACAAGAAGAAGGACAAGGACCACAUAGGACCAAAAAAAAAAAAAAUAGAUCUGAAGUUGACAGGACACCUGGUUGUGCAUUGCCUUGAGCAA